Molecule: transfer RNA, 83 nt
Filed under: Phycisphaerae bacterium
Lineage: Bacteria; Pseudomonadati; Planctomycetota; Phycisphaerae
Also listed under: 1 other name
Description: tRNA-Tyr
Rfam family: tRNA
About the family: Transfer RNA (tRNA) molecules are approximately 80 nucleotides in length. Their secondary structure includes four short double-helical elements and three loops (D, anti-codon, and T loops). Further hydrogen bonds mediate the characteristic L-shaped molecular structure. tRNAs have two regions of fundamental functional importance: the anti-codon, which is responsible for specific mRNA codon recognition, and the 3' end, to which the tRNAs corresponding amino acid is attached (by aminoacyl-tRNA synthetases). tRNAs cope with the degeneracy of the genetic code in two manners: having more than one tRNA (with a specific anti-codon) for a particular amino acid; and 'wobble' base-pairing, i.e. permitting non-standard base-pairing at the 3rd anti-codon position.
Source: RNAcentral
GGGCGUGUGCCCGAGUGGCCAAAGGGGACGGGCUGUAAACCCGUUGGCUUACGCCUUCGGUGGUUCGAAUCCACCCGCGCCCA